RNAcentral lists this long non-coding RNA (2296 nucleotides) under Homo sapiens (human). RNAcentral describes it as "ETS2 antisense RNA 1". Lineage: Eukaryota; Metazoa; Chordata; Mammalia; Primates; Hominidae. The record is from RNAcentral.
AGGGGGUCUUCUCUCUUGGCUUUGGAGCUCCCCAUUCCUCUGUGUCUGUAACAGGGGAGCUUCUUCCUUCUUUCUUCUCCCUUCUUUCUUGCCUGUUAAACUCUCUGCUUCUUAAAACCACUCCAUGUAUGUCCAGGUCAUUUUAUCUAAUUUGGAGACGGAGAACCCUGGUGUUCCUCUGCUCAUCAGAGCCGUCUCACCUGCAAGGGCCAGGAUCCAGCACUAGGGCUGCCCUUUAUGUUCAUGCAGCCUCCACUAGGAAGAUCCUCCUUAGCUGCCACCUGCUGUAAAGGGAUCUAUCUAUCUAUCUGUCUAUCUAUCUAUCUAUCUAUCUUUCUAUCUACCUGUCGAGAGAGAGAGAGGUUUAUUAUAAGGAAUUGACUCAUGUGAUUAUGGAGGCUGAGAAGUUCCACAGUCUGCUGUCUGCAAGCUGGAGACCCAGGAAGGCUGCUGGUGCCGUUCCAGUUUGAUUCUGAAGGCCUGAGAACCAGAACUGAUGGUAUGAGUUCUAGUCCAAGUCCACAGAAAUGAAACUGGAGAACCAAAGGUGUAAGUCGCAGUCUGAGGGCAGGAGAACACAAUAACCCAGCUCAAGCAAUUAGGCAGAGAGAAAGAAUUUUCUCUCCCUCCACUUUUUGUUGUUGUUGUUCUACUGAGGCCUUCAAUGGAUUGAAGGAGUUCCACUCAUUAAGUCAAUUAACUUCUGAAGUCUAUUAUUGUCAUUGCCUCCCCAGGUAGGGGAAAUGAGAAGCCUGGGGAUAUGGCUUACAGUGAAGUGUGGCUGGUCCUUUUUUAUUCUCUUGGCCAGGCUCCUUCCCUCUGCCAAGUUGCAGGUGGUCCAGGUGUUUGCUUCCAGAUGUUUAGCAAACAUCUGGUGGAAGGCAAAGAAGGAAAGAUUGCUUAGGGGGACUCUUGCUCCCGUUCCUACCUGCAUCUUCUGAGAGGUCUUCCCCCUUUACAUUCACCUCAGCUCAACAUUGGAAUCCCUGCUCUUUCACUGCACACACUGACCACCCACUGCAGGCUGGGGGUCCUAGAGGAUUUCACGUGCUAGGCUGUCCCAAAUAGAGGAGGUCCUGCUACAGCACCGGCACCAUUAGUCCUUUCUGGGCCGUGCUCUGUGAGCCCUUGAGAGGACAAGAAACCAAUGUCAAAGCCAUGGAAUGAUCCCAUUCAAUUCUCAUCAAGGAAUAGAGAAGACAUAAAAUUCAGCAAAUGGAGGAGCCCACUCAACAUGAAGAUGACAAGGAUGAAGACCUUUAUGAUGAUCCAUUCCCACUUACUGAAUAAACUUCACCAGGACCCAGGAAAUAAGAUUUGAUUGCUGCACACUUAGAAACAAUGGCAAUCAAGGGAAAUGCCCCAUCUUACAUGGAGCUCUUCUAGUGGAAACACCAUGGUUGCCACCACGUACUGCUCCGUACCUAAGUUUCUAGGAACCAGACUCUGGAAACUCUUCUAGAACUGCCCCAGGAGAACCAACGUGUCUGUUGCUUGCAAAGACCUCCAGUGUCCCUGAGCCUGGCCACUGCCUCCCAUUGCUCAAACCCUCCUAGUCUCGUAUGUGGACAUCUGCUUGGAAGAAUCUCAUCCACGUACAAAAUCCUGGCUCUGGAUGAAGCUUCUUGGUGAUGUAACAGUCUGUGGAAACUCCCACAGGACAAAUGCAGAAAGGAAGGACCUAGAUCACUGGAUGGUCAACGUUGCCCCUUGCACAGCAGCAAAGGCCUAUACAAAUUUUUUGAGUAGCUUUAUCUAGUGGUUCAGCUACUGGGAAUAACUUGUAAAAUCCCCUGGAUAGUCAACAGCAUUGGGGCUUGCUUUGUAAACAGAGACCUGACCUACUUAAUUCUUCCCAGAGGUUGGAAAAAGAGGCUGGACUCACACAGACAUGAAACCUUGGCUUAAUUGGACACUAAUUACUCAUAAGAGAUCUGUUUACCCGAACUUCCCCUAGACCAAGCUCAGUAUAAAAUGAGAGGAUGCAUAAAGAAGCAAGAUAUUUAGAGGAAAAUGUCACAAAUACAUUUAUCAGUCCCAAAAGUCCUUUUUUUUCCCCAGAAGUGAUGUUGCUAAUUGCACAAAAAUAAACAAUACAGGGGUUGAUAAAUUCCACAUUUAAGGGCUGAGGAUAGUGUCCCUACAUUUCUAAGAAGCUGUAUAUUUGGAAAUGAAUACAAUUGAAAGUAAGGAUAAGUGGCAUUCUAAAGCCAAUUGGAUAACUUGAAUGAACAAGCAGAAUUUACCAUAUUUUGAUAUGUUUCUUUUUGAUUAAAGUAUCUGUAAAGGAAACAAA